CGAGACGUAGCUAUAAAAACAAAGCAUUCAGCUUACACCUGAAAGAUAUCUACUACACACCAGAUCGCCUCG
RNAcentral lists this transfer RNA (72 nucleotides) under Caracara plancus (crested caracara). RNAcentral describes it as "tRNA-Val". Lineage: Eukaryota; Metazoa; Chordata; Aves; Falconiformes; Falconidae. RNAcentral also lists the same sequence under 2 other names. The record is from RNAcentral.